RNAcentral lists this ribosomal RNA (492 nucleotides) under uncultured bacterium. RNAcentral's name for it is "partial 16S ribosomal RNA". It matches the Rfam family "Bacterial small subunit ribosomal RNA", at positions 29 to 507 of the family's 1533-position model. The record is from RNAcentral.
AGUGAACGCUGGCGGUAGGCCUAACACAUGCAAGUCGAACGGCAGCACAGUAAGAGCUUGCUCUUACGGGUGGCGAGUGGCGGACGGGUGAGGAAUACAUCGGAAUCUACUUUUACGUGGGGGAUAACGUAGGGAAACUUACGCCAAUACCGCAUACGACCUACGGGUGAAAGCAGGGGAUCUUCGGACCUUGCGCGAUUGAAUGAGCCGAUGUCGGAUUAGCUAGUUGGCGGGGUAAAGGCCCACCAAGGCGACGAUCCGUAGCUGGUCUGAGAGGAUGAUCAGCCACACUGGAACUGAGACACGGUCCAGACUCCUACGGGAGGCAGCAGUGGGGAAUAUUGGACAAUGGGCGCAAGCCUGAUCCAGCCAUACCGCGUGGGUGAAGAAGGCCUUCGGGUUGUAAAGCCCUUUUGUUGGGAAAGAAAAGCAGCAGGUUAAUACCCCGCUGUUCUGACGGUACCCAAAGAAUAAGCACCGGCUAACUUCGUG